Molecule: ribosomal RNA, 253 nt
Filed under: uncultured bacterium
Lineage: Bacteria
Description: partial 16S ribosomal RNA
Rfam family: Bacterial small subunit ribosomal RNA
Source: RNAcentral
UACGUAGGGUGCAAGCGUUGUCCGGAAUUAUUGGGCGUAAAGAGCUCGUAGGCGGUCUGUCGCGUCUGCUGUGAAAACUCGGGGCUUAACCCCGGGCCUGCAGUGGGUACGGGCAGACUAGAGUGUGGUAGGGGAGACUGGAAUUCCUGGUGUAGCGGUGAAAUGCGCAGAUAUCAGGAGGAACACCGAUGGCGAAGGCAGGUCUCUGGGCCACUACUGACGCUGAGAAGCGAAAGCGUGGGGAGCGAACAGG